RNAcentral lists this ribosomal RNA (253 nucleotides) under uncultured bacterium. RNAcentral's name for it is "partial 16S ribosomal RNA". It matches the Rfam family "Bacterial small subunit ribosomal RNA", at positions 524 to 776 of the family's 1533-position model. The record is from RNAcentral.
UACAGAGGGUGCGAGCGUUGUCCGGAAUCACUGGGCGUAAAGGGCGCGUAGGCGGCUUGAUAAGCGUGCGGUGAAAGCCCGGGGCUCAACCCCGGAGGUGCGGCCGAGACUGCAGGGCUGGAGGCCGGAAGAGGAGGGUGGAAUACCCAGUGUAGAGGUGAAAUUCGUAGAUAUUGGGUGGAACACCGGUGGCGAAAGCGGCUCUCUGGUCCGGACCUGACGCUGAGGUGCGAAAGCGUGGGGAGCAAACAGG